UCAUGGAGGAAACACAACUGGGAGACACUACUGCAGGGAUGUGGAGACAUCUCCUCCCUGUACUGCUCAUCUGGGUCCCAGGUGUGGGUUCAGCGUACGUGGAGCAGCUGCCCUUCCAAACUGGGAGCCAAGGACACUCCCUAGUUCUGCAGUGUACACUCAAACAGUCCAACUGUGACCGGAUGUUCUGGUACCGGCAGCGGGGAAGCAGGGAGCUGGAGGGGCUCUUCUACUCUUAUGGAGACCAAUUGGUGAACUUCACAGCCGAGCUCUUGACCGCCCAGAGGAGCAACAAAAACUGGGAACUGAAAUGGACCAAACUUUCACAGUCAGACUCAGCUGUGUAUUACUGCGCCUGCAGCACUGCACAGUGA
This is a non-coding RNA of Caretta caretta (loggerhead turtle), 374 nucleotides long. The record is from the annotation of a RefSeq genome assembly. NCBI's taxonomy places the organism in Eukaryota, Metazoa, Chordata, Testudines, Cheloniidae.